AACGCACAUUGCGCCCCAUGGUAUUCCGUGGGGCAUGCCUGUCUGAGCGUCAGCAACACCACUCAAGCAUAGCUUUAUUGCCUUGCUUGGACUAUAUCAGAGAAGCAGUUUGUUUACUAACCGCCCUCUGGAAAUUGAUAGAUGGUCAGGUUGUCACACUAUGCCAAACGUCAUAUGAUUUACAUCGUUCGUUUGCAAAUUGGUUGAUAUCUUGAUAGUCAUUGAACCCACAGUGUAUGCUGUUUUUUUCUGACUUGACCUCAGAUCAGGUAGGGAUACCCGCUGAACUUAA
Molecule: unclassified non-coding RNA, 292 nt
Filed under: uncultured Ascomycota
Lineage: Eukaryota; Fungi; Ascomycota
Description: sequence contains ITS2
Rfam family: 5.8S ribosomal RNA (bases 1-52)
Source: RNAcentral